AUUAAGUGGUCGAAAAUAAAGGCAAAAGAUUGUAAUUCUUUCUAUGGUUUCCAUACCCUUAUUC
RNAcentral lists this transfer RNA (64 nucleotides) under Arion vulgaris. RNAcentral describes it as "tRNA-Tyr". The record is from RNAcentral. Lineage: Eukaryota; Metazoa; Mollusca; Gastropoda; Stylommatophora; Arionidae.